AGGGCACCACCAGGAGUGGAGCCUGCGGCUUAAUUUGACUCAACACGGGAAAACUCACCCGGCCCGGACACCGUAAGGAUUGACAGACUGAGAGCUCUUUCUUAAUUCGGUGGGUGGUGGUGCAUGGCCGUUCUUAGUUGGUGGAGCGAUUUGUCUGGUUAAUUCCGAUAACGAACGAGACUCUGGCCUAUUAAAUAGACGAUAUAUCUAAAAGUAUAUCGCACCUCUUAGAGGGACAAGCGGCGUCUAGCCGCAUGAAAUAGAGCAAUAACAGGCCUGUGAUGCCCUUAGAUGUCCGGGGCUGCGCGCGCGCUACACUGAAAGAAUCAGUGGGCGUUCAACCUAGUUCGGAAGAACUGGGUAACCCAAGUAAAUUCUUUCGUGCUUGGGAUAGGGAAUUGCAAUUAUUUCCCUUAAACGAGGAAUUCCCAGUAAAUGCGGGUCAUAAGCUCGCGUUGAUUACGUCCCUGCCCUUUGUACACACCGCCCGUCGCUACUACCGAUUGGAUGACUUAGUGA
RNAcentral lists this ribosomal RNA (519 nucleotides) under uncultured eukaryote. RNAcentral's name for it is "SSU rRNA". It matches the Rfam family "Eukaryotic small subunit ribosomal RNA", at positions 1161 to 1704 of the family's 1831-position model. The record is from RNAcentral.